Molecule: ribosomal RNA, 274 nt
Filed under: uncultured bacterium
Lineage: Bacteria
Description: partial 16S ribosomal RNA
Rfam family: Bacterial small subunit ribosomal RNA
Source: RNAcentral
AUACGGAGGGAGCGAGCGUUAAUCGGAAUUACUGGGCGUAAAGCGCGCGUAGGCGGCUUGUUAAGUCGGAUGUGAAAUCCCCGGGCUCAACCUGGGAACUGCAUUCGAUACUGGCAGGCUAGAGUAUAGUAGAGGCAAGUGGAAUUCCGGGUGUAGCGGUGAAAUGCGUAGAUAUCCGGAGGAACAUCAGUGGCGAAGGCGACUUGCUGGACUAAUACUGACGCUGAGGAGCGAAAGCGUGGGGAGCAAACGGGAUUAGAAACCCCAGUAGUCC